GAGACUCUGAAGUUGAAGUUACUUGCCCUCUGAAAAAAGGCCUCCCAGUGAGUAAGAUGCAGAGCCAAGACCAGCAUGCAGAUCACGUGCCAGCCCUGCAUUCUUUCCACUUCCCAUAAGUUGAAGAAAAAGACAGCGCGACAGUAGCCACAAAAAUGACCUCCUACAAAAACCAAGGCAACUGAGAACAUCAGGUAAAUUUGGACACAGACACAGAUAAAGGAGAAUGCCAUGUGAAGACACACACAGACACACAGAGGAGGCGGCCAUGUGAAGAUGGAGUCAGAGAGUGGAGUUGUGCAGCCACAAGUCAAGGAAUGCUCGGGGCUAUCAGAAACUGGAAGAAGCAAGGAAGGAUCCUCCUCUACAAGCUUCAGAGGGAGUACGGCCCUGCCAACACCUUGAUUUCAUACUACUAGCUUCUGGACCUGAAACACAGUUUGAAGUAUUAAGGAGAAGAGGAACAUGACGUCUGCGAUUUAUUCUCAAGUGUUUUAGAAAAAAUAUGUGUGUCUGUGUGCGUAUGAGUAGAAAGAGAGAAUGAUAAAGCAGUUGUAAGAAGAUGCUUACAAGAGAUGCAUCUUGAUAAAGGGUAUGUGAAAGUUCUUUUUACUGUUUUUGCAUACUAUUUUCUGUAAGUUGAAAGUACUUCAAAUUAA
This 659-nucleotide long non-coding RNA is filed under the name Homo sapiens (human). Its description in RNAcentral is "HSALNT0286620". Lineage: Eukaryota; Metazoa; Chordata; Mammalia; Primates; Hominidae. The record is from RNAcentral.